CGAUGAUCGGUAGCUGGUCUGAGAGGAUGAUCAGCCACACUGGAACUGCGACACGGUCCAGACUCCUACGGGAGGCAGCAGUGGGGAAUAUUGGACAAUGGGGGAAACCCUGAUCCAGCAAUGCCGCGUGGGUGAUGAAGGCCUUCGGGUUGUAAAGCCCUUUCGGCGGGGACGAUGAUGACGGUACCCGCAGAAGAAGCCCCGGCUAACUUCGUGCCAGCAGCCGCGGUAAUAUGAAGGGGGCUAGCAUUGUUCGGAAUUACUGGGCGUAAAGGGCGCGUAGGCGGCCUUGCGCGUCGUGCGUGAAAGGCCUGGGCUCGACCCAGGAAUGGCGCUCGAUACGGCAUGGCUAGAGUGCAGGAGAGGAUGGUGGAAUUCCCAGUGUAGAGGUGAAAUUCGUAGAUAUUGGGAAGAACACCGGUGGCGAAGGCGGCCAUCUGGACUGCAACUGACGCUGAGGCGCGAAAGCGUGGGGAGCAAACAGGA
This 486-nucleotide ribosomal RNA is filed under the name uncultured bacterium. RNAcentral describes it as "bacterial SSU rRNA". It matches the Rfam family "Bacterial small subunit ribosomal RNA", at positions 274 to 777 of the family's 1533-position model. The record is from RNAcentral.